CAGGGUUCUUUGGGGCCCGAGGAUUCCUGAAAUCAUGGAUCACCCACCUAUGCUUUGAGACAUGCUUUAUUUUUUUUUUUUCUGGAAGCCCUGCAACUUCCCUAAAAAUUGAAUGAAUUAUAGAACAGACCUAUGGUGAAGCGACUUCCAGUCAUUUGGAAAGGAUAGGAUGAAAAGGAACCUUGGUGAUAAUUUUGAUGUCUGCAAGAUUUAGUACCAGUGUAAUGGGAUUAUCGGUAACACCUUCACUGCAGAAAAAGCCACCUGGCGCUAUAACUGGCAGCAACUGAGAACUAAUCCUUUCCCAUCUCUUGGAUGUCAUUCAUGAAGCUCAAAGCUAUUUCUGCCCUGCUAACUGUGAUUAAUUUUAUAAACAACAACAACAAAAAAUCAGGCCAAUGCUGGCAGAGUCUACAUAGAACUAUGCUUCGUGGUGUUCUGGGGAAAACCUUUCGACUUGUUGGCUAUACUAUUCAAUAUGGCUGUAUAGCUCAUUGUGCUUUUGAGUACGUUGGUGGUGUUGUCAUGUGUUCUGGACCAUCAAUGGAGCCUACAAUUCAAAAUUCAGAUAUCGUCUUUGCAGAAAAUCUUAGUCGACAUUUUUAUGGUAUCCAAAGAGGUGACAUUGUGAUUGCAAAAAGCCCAAGUGAUCCAAAAUCAAAUAUUUGUAAACGAGUAAUUGGUUUGGAAGGAGACAAAAUCCUCACCACUAGUCCAUCAGAUUUCUUUAAAAGCCAUAGUUAUGUGCCAAUGGGUCAUGUUUGGUUAGAAGGUGACAAUCUACAGAAUUCUACAGAUUCCAGGUACUAUGGACCUAUUCCAUAUGGACUAAUAAGAGGACGAAUCUUCUUUAAGAUUUGGCCUCUGAGUGAUUUUGGAUGUUUACGUGCCAGCCCUAAUGGCCACAGAUUUUCUGAUGAUUAAUGAAACUGAAGAGUCAUUAUUACAAGGCUUUCUACACUGAAGAAAAACUACAAACUUGGAACCUGAUUAUGAACUUGAAUAACUGUGGAGCUUCUAUAAACUGUAUUAUUCAUGUGAACAUUUUAUAAAUCCUGAAAGGGUUUUCCAAAGUGCUCAUCUGGUUGAAACGCAAAGCCUAAUCUUGAAUAACUACAUGCCUUUCAGGGGAACACUGGAAGCAGCCUUUGGAGGCAUCCUCCGAAACAAUAAGAAAUGCUCCUGUGGACCUAAAAUGUAUAACUGCUCUUUAAAUAAAACUUCAACUGAUUUAACUUUAUAAGCUACAGGAAACAACAAGUGAAAUGAAAUAUACUAACAUAUAUAGGUAUACAGGAGUCUCUCUCCAUGGCCACCAUAGCUGAAAAUGCGGUGGGUCACAUCUGAAGCCAGCACAGCCCUGCGUCUUACCCAAGGCCCACAGCAAGUACUGCCUGGGUACCAGUGAUGUUCAAGGCCCAACAUCUCUUUAGUCAACAGGUGAUGAAUCCUGCUAGAACUGGAUCCUUCCCUUCAAGGCAGAAGGUUCCCCUCUGGCCCAUGGUGUGUCUAGAAAUGUAGUCUAGGAGCUACAGCCUAGAAUGGGGAGCCUCAGGAUUCUGCCUGAUACCCUAUUCUACUGUGGCUGAGCUGGCAUCCAAGUUGCAAGACACAGUUGUCUUUACUCUCUACUAUCUUCACCUCAAGCAGAAGGAAGGAGUCUCUCCCAGAGUUGUAAGCUGCAUUGCCUAGGGUUGGGGGAAGGUUGAUGCAAGUACUCCCUGGGCCACCCUAGCUGGUAUCUCAUCAGCUUAUGUGGACCCCACGUCAACUGGCUCUGAGCCCAGCAUAACACGUGUCCAGGAAUUACAAUCCUUGUGGCCUAGACUGCCUUUCAAGUUUACUUACGA
Symphalangus syndactylus (siamang) is the source of this 1850-nucleotide RNA transcript. It is a transcript of the gene named inner mitochondrial membrane peptidase subunit 1, with no coding region annotated. The record is from RefSeq and is a predicted model, not a curated record. Lineage: Eukaryota; Metazoa; Chordata; Mammalia; Primates; Hylobatidae.